RNAcentral lists this long non-coding RNA (222 nucleotides) under Medicago truncatula (barrel medic). RNAcentral describes it as "long non-coding RNA (MTRU_LNC008610)". Lineage: Eukaryota; Viridiplantae; Streptophyta; Magnoliopsida; Fabales; Fabaceae. The record is from RNAcentral.
UUCCGGUCCGAUCUACUCUACGUUUCGGUCCGAUCUUCUUCUUCCUUUACUUCGGAUCUGCUCAAAGAACGGGUUGUGUUGUUGUUUAGCUACGAAACGGUUAGUAUGGUGCAGUAACACUGUCUUUCGAGCUCCUUGUGGAUGAAUGGAUCCGAGUCUGUACGAAGGUUUUAUGAUGAUGAUUUUGUUGUGUUUGAGUUGUUGGUAAAUUGUGGUUGAAUG